UAGGGAAUCUUCGGCAAUGGACGAAAGUCUGACCGAGCAACGCCGCGUGAGUGAAGAAGGUUGUCGGAUCGUAAAACUCUGUUGUUAGAGAAGAACAAGGACGUUAGUAACUGAACGUCCCCUGACGGUAUCUAACCAGAAAGCCACGGCUAACUACGUGCCAGCAGCCGCGGUAAUACGUAGGUGGCAAGCGUUGUCCGGAUUUAUUGGGCGUAAAGCGAGCGCAGGCGGUUUCUUAAGUCUGAUGUGAAAGCCCCCGGCUCAACCGGGGAGGGUCAUUGGAAACUGGGAGACUUGAGUGCAGAAGAGGAGAGUGGAAUUCCAUGUGUAGCGGUGAAAUGCGUAGAUAUAUGGAGGAACACCAGUGGCGAAGGCGGCUCUCUGGUCUGUAACCGACGCUGAGGCUCGAAAGCGUGGGGAGCAAACAGG
This 429-nucleotide ribosomal RNA is filed under the name Gemmatimonadota bacterium. RNAcentral's name for it is "Gemmatimonadetes bacterium partial 16S ribosomal RNA". It matches the Rfam family "Bacterial small subunit ribosomal RNA", at positions 355 to 776 of the family's 1533-position model. The record is from RNAcentral. Lineage: Bacteria; Pseudomonadati; Gemmatimonadota.